AUCUUUUUAGUACAAGACAAGUAUAAUUGGCCUCCAACCAAAAGAUUAAAAAUUUAAAAAGAUA
This 64-nucleotide transfer RNA is filed under the name Penthicodes caja. Its description in RNAcentral is "tRNA-Gly". Lineage: Eukaryota; Metazoa; Arthropoda; Insecta; Hemiptera; Fulgoridae. The record is from RNAcentral.